GACGAACGCUGGCGGCGUGCCUAAUACAUGCAAGUUGAGCGCUGAAGGUUGGUACUUGUACCAACUGGAUGAGCAGCGAACGGGUGAGUAACGCGUGGGUAAUCUGCCUUUGAGCGGGGGACAACAUUUGGAAACGAAUGCUAAUACCGCAUAAAAACUUUAAACACAAGUUUUAAGUUUGAAAGAUGCAAUUGCAUCACUCAAAGAUGAUCCCGCGUUGUAUUAGCUAGUUGGUGGGGUAAAGGCUCACCAAGGCGAGGAUACAUAGCCGACCUGAGAGGUGGAACGGCCACAUCGGGACUGAGACACGGCCCAAACUCCUACGGGAGGAAGCAGUAGGGAACCUUCGGCAGUGGACGAAAGUCUGACCGAGCAACGCCGCGUGAGCGAAGAAGGUUUUCGGAUCGUAAAACUCUGUUGGUAGAGAAGAACGUUGGUGAGAGUGGAAAGCUCAUCAAGUGACGGUAACUACACAGAAAGGGACGGCUAACUACGUG
Molecule: ribosomal RNA, 497 nt
Filed under: uncultured bacterium
Lineage: Bacteria
Description: partial 16S ribosomal RNA
Rfam family: Bacterial small subunit ribosomal RNA
Source: RNAcentral